This 1055-nucleotide long non-coding RNA is filed under the name Cricetulus griseus (Chinese hamster). RNAcentral's name for it is "lncRNA (ENSCGRG00015035608.1)". Lineage: Eukaryota; Metazoa; Chordata; Mammalia; Rodentia; Cricetidae. The record is from RNAcentral.
GUAAGCCUAGGAAGUUGUAUGAAAUUUCCUGGAGAGGUGACAAGAAAGUCGCUGAGGGUCCUGCCGGCGAGGGAGGCACCUCAGCGGCUGUGUUUCGGGAAACGGCACGCUAGAUCGUCACCGAAGCAGCGGCCGCCCGCGUGGCCGGCUGGUGGGAGUGGACCGAGGCCGCAGUGCUGCACUCACCUGUUCGUAGAGUCCCUGCUCGCCGCCGAUCACAGUUUAAACAUGUCUUAAACAGGUUUCUGCUUCUGGCAGACACAUCUGAGUAUAUCAGUUGCUGACUACAGGCUGUCCCUAAGUAGACUGUGAGCCCUGGACUUGCUGUGGAUGUGAACCAGUCCAGCUGAUGUGGACACCUCCUGUCUCUGCAACAGAAUCUGCCAACCAGAAGCUCCUGAUGGAAUCCCCAUUGCCUAAAUUCCCUUUUUUGCUUUUGACUAGCAUUUCAGCCUUCCUGGGUCCCUAACUUCGUCCCAAAGUCAGCAGGAAGUAGCAUGGGAAAGAAUAUGUUGUCCAUCUUCCCUGGUUGAAAUGCUAAAUCAGAAGGAACUCCCUUGCAUGGGGAUGCCAAUAUCUCUCACUCCCUGAUGGGGAUGCUAGAGAAACAGCAAUUCCAUGAUUGGAAUUUCUAAAAAAAAAAAAAAUGGGGGAAUGAAGGGACCAGCUCCCCAUUUCAGCAGCCAUAACAGCCAAACACGUGCUUGUGUGACCUUGCCUUAGUCACUAGGAGGUCAGAUGCCUGCCUCGUGACAAGGAACCAAUCAGAAGUUAGCUGGUGGCGCUAUGCUUCAUGGCUCUGGGUGUGCCUUACGGACAACUGCACAGCAAUGACAUACAGAGCAUAGCAACCACCCUGGGAGGGCCUAUGGGCCAUAACAACCAGUUGACCAAUCAACACAGGGCAAACCCUCCAAGCCUAGAGGCACACCAAUCCUGAGCCUGUGUGUACCCCUAGACACUCCCCUUAUGCUGCCCUACAAGAUCUCUAUGCAGCUGCUUCGAGCUGUCUUUCCUAGCCAUCCGCCAUGGUGGGUGGAUGAAAGACCCGAGCU